Molecule: ribosomal RNA, 456 nt
Filed under: uncultured bacterium
Lineage: Bacteria
Description: bacterial SSU rRNA
Rfam family: Bacterial small subunit ribosomal RNA
Source: RNAcentral
UACGGAAGGCAGCAGUGGGGAAUAUUGCACAAUGGGCGAAAGCCUGAUGCAGCUAUGCCGCGUGUAUGAAGAAGGCCUUAGGGUUGUAAAGUACUUUCAUCGGGGAGGAAAAAACAAAACUAAUAAUUUUAUUUCUUGACGUUACCCGAAAAAGAAGCACCGGCUAACUCCGUGCCAGCAGCCGCGGUAAUACGGAGGGUGCUAGCGUUAAUCAGAAUUACUGGGCGUAAAGAGCACGUAGGUGGUUUUUUUAAGUCAGAUGUGAAAUCCCUGGGCUUAACCUAGGAACUGCAUUUUGAAACUGAAAUACUAGAGUAUCGUAGAGGGAGGUAGAAUUCUAGGUGUAGCGGUGAAAUGCGUAGAUAUCUGGAGGAAUACCUGUGGCGAAAGCGGCCUCCUAAACGAAUACUGACACUGAGGUGCGAAAGCGUGGGGAGCGAAACAGGGAUUAGGAUA